GAUGAACGCUGGCGGCGUGCCUAAUACAUGCAAGUCGAGCGAACAGAUGAGGAGCUUGCUCCUCUGACGUUAGCGGCGGACGUGUGAGUAACACGUGGAUAACCUACCUAUAAGACUGGGAUAACUUCGGGAAACCGGAUCUAAUAGCGGAUAAGAUAUUGAACCGCAUGGUUCAAUAGUGAAAGACGGUUUUGCUGUUACUUAUAGAUGGAUCCGUGCCGCAUUAGCUAGUUGGUAAGGUAGCGGCCUACAAAGGCAACGAUGCGUAGCCGCCCUGGGGGGGGAACGGCCCACCUGGGAACUGGGACACGGCCCAGACCCCUACGGGGGCAGCCAGUAGGGAAUCUUGCGCAAUGGGCGAAAGCCGAACGAAGCAACGCGGGGUGAGGGAGGAAGUUCUUCGGACCGUAAAACUCUGUUAUUGGGGAAAACCAAUUGUGUAAGUAACUAUGCACGUCUUGACGGUACCUAAUCAGAAAGCCACGGCUAACUACGUG
RNAcentral lists this ribosomal RNA (497 nucleotides) under uncultured bacterium. RNAcentral's name for it is "partial 16S ribosomal RNA". It matches the Rfam family "Bacterial small subunit ribosomal RNA", at positions 28 to 507 of the family's 1533-position model. The record is from RNAcentral.